UGGGGAAUAUUGGACAAUGGGCGAAAGCCUGAUCCAGCCAUGCCGCGUGUGUGAAGAAGGUCUUCGGAUUGUAAAGCACUUUAAGUUGGGAGGAAGGGCAGUUACCUAAUACGUGAUUGUUUUGACGUUACCGACAGAAUAAGCACCGGCUAACUCUGUGCCAGCAGCCGCGGUAAUACAGAGGGUGCAAGCGUUAAUCGGAAUUACUGGGCGUAAAGCGCGCGUAGGUGGUUUGUUAAGUUGGAUGUGAAAUCCCCGGGCUCAACCUGGGAACUGCAUUCAAACUGACAAGCUAGAGUAUGGUAGAGGGUGGUGGAAUUUCCUGUGUAGCGGUGAAAUGCGUAGAUAUAGGAAGGAACACCAGUGGCGAAGGCGACCACCUGGACUGAUACUGACACUGAGGUGCGAAAGCGUGGGGAGCAAACAGGAUUAGAUACCCGUGUAGUCCCUGAGCGGGCUGGCAAGGCGCAU
Molecule: ribosomal RNA, 471 nt
Filed under: uncultured bacterium
Lineage: Bacteria
Description: bacterial SSU rRNA
Rfam family: Bacterial small subunit ribosomal RNA
Source: RNAcentral